Molecule: long non-coding RNA, 322 nt
Organism: Tupaia belangeri chinensis (Chinese tree shrew)
Lineage: Eukaryota; Metazoa; Chordata; Mammalia; Scandentia; Tupaiidae
Exons: 3
Source: RefSeq, a predicted model, not a curated record
GGUGGAAACCAGGCUUCUUGGAAGACUUCAAACUAUGCCAAAUGGUCUGAUUUCACCAUAGAGAAUGAAGAAUUACAAAGAAGGGGAGAAAAAAUAAUAUAAAAGAAACCCUUGUGUGGAUGUGACUUAACUUUUAUCAAACCUUCACAUUUUAAACUGAUAUUUAAGAAAUGCACAGUUGUGUAUAAGCUAUGCGCAGGAGCUGUGGUAGAAGCUGGGCAGAAGGAAGACAAUGGAGGAAAAUGAAGGAUGACAUUUUCGGAGGCAUGUUAAGAAAAUUGCAUGUGGAUGUAUAAUUUUUCAAUUAAAUAUAUAUCUAUAU